RNAcentral lists this ribosomal RNA (449 nucleotides) under uncultured bacterium. Its description in RNAcentral is "partial 16S ribosomal RNA". It matches the Rfam family "Bacterial small subunit ribosomal RNA", at positions 29 to 523 of the family's 1533-position model. The record is from RNAcentral.
AACGAACGCUGGCGGCAGGCCUAACACAUGCAAGUCGAACGCCCUGGCAACAGGGAGUGGCAGACGGGUGAGUAACGCGUGGGAACGUGCCCUUCGGUUUGGAAUAACUCAGGGAAACUUGAGCUAAUACCGAAUACGUGCGAGAGCAGAAAGAUUUAUCGCCGAAGGAUCGGCCCGCGUCCGAUUAGCUAGUUGGUGAGGUAAUGGCUCACCAAGGCGACGAUCGGUAGCUGGUCUGAGAGGAUGAUCAGCCACAAUGGGACUGAGACACGGCCCAGACUCCUACGGGAGGCAGCAGUGGGGAAUAUUGGACAAUGGGCGCAAGCCUGAUCCAGCCAUGCCGCGUGAGUGAUGAAGGCCCUAGGGUUGUAAAGCUCUUUCGCCAGGGACGAUAAUGACGGUACCUGGAUAAGAAGCCCCGGCUAACUUCGUGCCAGCCGCCGCCGUAA